This 490-nucleotide long non-coding RNA is filed under the name Actinidia chinensis (golden kiwifruit). Its description in RNAcentral is "long non-coding RNA (ACHI_LNC000377)". The record is from RNAcentral. Lineage: Eukaryota; Viridiplantae; Streptophyta; Magnoliopsida; Ericales; Actinidiaceae.
UUAAAUCAAAUGAAGAAGUAUUCGUUAACACAAAAAAAUAAGAAAUAUUAGCAUAGUAAGGAGGGAAAGAGACAUAGAAAGAGUAGAUAACCUGAGAGAUAGGGAGAACUACCAAGAGACAACGCUGUCACAUAUGGAAAAGAAGUAUCGAAUUAAAUCUCUGUUGAAGAUGGUCUGAUUUUUCAAAAUCAAUCCCUACAAAUGAGGCCAAAUUGCCCUUGCAUUUGAUCUCAUCCGGCCCUUCAUUAUGUUUAUCCUCUAACCAAAAUAGAAAGCCAACAAAUAAAAUGGUCCAUGAUCAUCAUAAAAAAAGUGAAUUACGAACUACAUGAAAGGAUUAAAUGAAGGUUCAGUUAGCCUCACUAUAUUAGCAAGAAAGUGUGCAAGACUCUAGAAACCAGAAAACAGGCAAGAUUCUUGCUUCUCUUUCAACAACAACUGAACCAGUUGUUCCACAAUUACUAUAUCUGUAUGUUCUUCAUUUUCCCAU